ACAGCAUCAGCCGCGGUAAUACAGAGGGUGCGAGCGUUAAUCGGAUUUACUGGGCGUAAAGCGUGCGUAGGCGGCUUCUUAAGUCGGAUGUGAAAUCCCUGAGCUUAACUUAGGAAUUGCAUUCGAUACUGGGAAGCUAGAGUAUGGGAGAGGAUGGUAGAAUUCCAGGUGUAGCGGUGAAAUGCGUAGAGAUCUGGAGGAAUACCGAUGGCGAAGGCAGCCAUCUGGCCUAAUACUGACGCUGAGGUACGAAAGCAUGGGGAGCAAACAGGAUUAGAUACCCCCGUAGUCCCUGUCUCUUAUAC
This 305-nucleotide ribosomal RNA is filed under the name uncultured bacterium. RNAcentral's name for it is "partial 16S ribosomal RNA". It matches the Rfam family "Bacterial small subunit ribosomal RNA", at positions 508 to 807 of the family's 1533-position model. The record is from RNAcentral.